Molecule: long non-coding RNA, 492 nt
Organism: Phacochoerus africanus (Common warthog)
Lineage: Eukaryota; Metazoa; Chordata; Mammalia; Artiodactyla; Suidae
Exons: 2
Source: RefSeq, a predicted model, not a curated record
CGUAGCCUGGGGGCGGGGUUCCAGUCACUUCCCUUUCGGGUGGUUUGGUUCUCGCCUUUUCUUUCGCUGUGGAGACAAGAUCUAACACGAGAUGGAAACUGUUCCAGAAAAAGAACUACAUGAAGAACUUAUUGCUGGAAAAUCUGGCAACAAAUUGCAAGUGACAGCCAGGUCAAGACUCCAUGAAAAAAAGUUAUCAGUUCCACCCGGACAAGGUGAUUUUCCUAACUAGGUUGGAGCAGGCAUGUCUUGUCACAAUUAAGAGGUUUCUCUCUCGAGUAUAAUUUGCAGUGGUCACUAAGUGUUGAUCUACGACUGAAGCCUUUUCCACAUUGCUCACGUGUGAAUGGCUUCUCUACAGUGCAGGGAAUCUCUGAUGAGUUUGCAGACAUGAACUCUGACGAAAUUCAUACUUAACAUCAUUUUCUCCCAUGUGACAUCUGAUGAAUGCAAAGUGCUAAACUGUCAAAGAAGUGUUUCCCACACUCCUGA